RNAcentral lists this ribosomal RNA (497 nucleotides) under uncultured bacterium. RNAcentral describes it as "partial 16S ribosomal RNA". It matches the Rfam family "Bacterial small subunit ribosomal RNA", at positions 28 to 507 of the family's 1533-position model. The record is from RNAcentral.
GAUGAACGCUGGCGGCGUGCCUAAUACAUGCAAGUCGAGCGAACGGACGAGAAGCUUGCUUCUCUGAUGUUAGCGGCGGACGGGUGAGUAACACGUGGAUAACCUACCUAUAAGACUGGGAUAACUUCGGGAAACCGGAGCUAAUACCGGAUGAUAUUUUGAACCGCAUGGUUCAAAAGUGAAAGACGGUCUUGCUGUCACUUAUAGAUGGAUCCGCGCUGCAUUAGCUAGUUGGUAAGGUAACGGCUUACCAAGGCAACGAUGCAUAGCCGACCUGAGAGGGUGAGCGGCCACAAUGGAGCUGAGACGCGGUCCAGACUCCUGAGGGAGGCAGCAGUAGGGAAUCGUCGGCAAUGGGCGAAAGCCUGAAAAAGCUACGCCGCGGGAGUGAAGAAGGUCUUCGGAUCGGAAAGCACUGUUAUUGGGGAAAAACAGAAGUAUAAGUAACUGUGCCCGGCUUGACGGUACCAAAUAAAAAAGCACCGGCUAACUACGUG